This 28569-nucleotide long non-coding RNA is filed under the name Nicotiana tabacum (common tobacco). Its description in RNAcentral is "long non-coding RNA (NTAB_LNC001557)". Lineage: Eukaryota; Viridiplantae; Streptophyta; Magnoliopsida; Solanales; Solanaceae. The record is from RNAcentral.
UUUUUUUUUUGUAAAAAGUUAUUUUUUUCUACUAAAAUUAUUGGCUAUAGAAGAUCACUUUCCUCUCUUGAUUUUGCGUUUGACAUAGCGUGGAGAGGCACGAAAAAUACUUUAAAAAGAGAAAAGAGGUACUCACCUAUUAAAACGAUAUAUAUUUUGUGUGUUAUUGUCGAACAAUUUUUAUUUUGUUUUUAACUGCCCAUGGCAGGGAAGGGUCCGAAGGUGGGACCCUAAUCUCAAUCCUGUGGGUCUGAAGGUGGGACCCACUCCACUUUCAAUAAUCACCAUAUGUAAAUUGUAAUGCAAGAUAAAUUAAAUACUUUUACUACAUGUGACUGCUGACUUAUCCACAUUCCACAGAAGUACCAUAAAUUCAUGUUUAAUCAUCAUAAGAAAUUCAUAAGAAAUAGUACGUUAUUAGUUUCUUCGAACAGUCAAAAAAUUAAUAAGUUGACUGGACUAGACUGUGUUUAAUUCUCCACAUGGCCCCUAUUACAGAGAAUGUUCGGUUCUUGAGUGUGAAGUUCGAAAAUGGAGGAAUCUGGGACCUCAUACGCUUCGGCGUAUGGGGAGAUAAAGAAAGUGGUGCUAAGUUUCUUGAAUAUUCUAGUACCGGUGAUCAUGUAGUUGAAGAAGAAGAAGAGUUACUGCGCGACGACGAUGAGGUGGCAGAUCAUAGAUGGGUUAUAUUUGUGUCGAUUUUAGUGAGGAAGAUAUUGAAGGUUUUUGGCAAGCCAAUGGAACGGACUGGCUUUUUUCUGGAGUUUAUGCUGAAUCUCUUCUCUCUCAAUGGCAGCAGCUUUCUUGGCUUACUUUACAAUAUCUGGCAUGGUAAUGAUUCCAUAUUCAUUCACUUCUUUCCUUUUUCUUGAAGCUCUUAUAUAUACAUACAUGUACAUCUUUAGGUUAUUAGGUAUGCAUGUAUAUGUUUAAUGCGGACUAUAUAUUGAGAAUAUAAAGAGUUUUUAUGGUUAGUGCAAUUUAACCGGCUUAUUUAUGUUGAAGCGUGUGAUCACACAUUUCAACAUGGUAUUAGAGUAGACAGAGAGAUCCUGGUUCGAGUCUCACCACCACCCAAUAUCAAAAUAAAAAUUCACGUGCUUGGCUCAUAAAAAUUAAGAAUCAAGCCCGCACGUGAGUAGGCGUGUUGAAGACAAAAUUAAGUAAAUAAAAGUGUGUGACUCUCUAACAUGGUCACACAUUUCGACAAUUCUACCUGCAAGUAGCCUUCUUCCAAGUAACUAGUUCAACAGUAAUUUGUCAUGAUUAUAGUUAUCUGUAGUGACCCGAUAGCGUAAAAAAAAUGUUUUACAUUAAUGUUGAUGUAUAGAAGCUAAGCUCAUUUAAUAUAUGUAGAUAUAUUGAUACACUUAUACACCCCACACACAAACUUUACAUGAAUAUAUGAAUUAGUUUGUGUGUUUGUUAUAUAAUUUUACAUGUAUAUAGUGCUAUGUAGUUGAGGAUUUACAGUAAGAGUUAAGAAUCUUUGUUCAUGAGUUGUAUAACAAAUAUCACACGUUCCAUUUGGUGCCGAUUUUGCUUUCAAUGAUAUAAAAGUAGCUUUUCUAAUUCUGAUUCUAAAGUACAAAUGUUGCAAGGAAACAGGAAAGCUGAUUAUACCACAGAGAGGUUCUGAAACUUUCAUAAGUAGUAUUGGCCAUGUAGAUGGGCGCAUAAACUUAUACAAGACUGAAAUUUUAACCAAGGAAAUUGAUCAACCUGAUUUCGGACACAGACCUCUUAUGGACCUAUGUAUGAUGGCUUCAAAGUUGGCCUAUGAGAAUGAAAAAGUUGUUAGGGAUGUUGUAAAUCUUCACUGGAAGGUAUACUUUAGCUUGUUUAUUAUUUUCUUUACCAUUUUUGUGGUACUAUUUUUACAUUUGCUGAUCCAAGAUGAUGCUUUAUGUUUACAUUCUUUCCCACAAAACAGAUGCAUUUCGUUGAUUUUUACAACUGCUGGAAUGGUGAGAACUCAAGUUGUAUUGUUAAUUUUCAAAAGAUUUAACACUUGUGAUUGUAUGAAUAUUUGCUCUCUUCCUCUGUGUGUUUAUUGGGACAGAUUACCAGAAAGAGAGGUCCACACAAGUAUUUAUAUUAUGCGAUAAGCCAAAAGAUGCAAACUUGAUUUUGAUCAGCUUUAGAGGUACAGAGCCAUUUGAUGCUGAUGAUUGGAUCACUGAUUUUGACUACUCUUGGUAUGAGAUUCCGAAAUUGGGAAAAGUACACAUGGGAUUUUUAGAGGCUUUAGGUUUAGGAAACAGAGGAAAUACGUCCACGUUUCACGAACAACUCUUCGUUAAAAAUGCAAAAUAUACCAAUUCAGAGAAUGUUGAUCCAAACAGUGGAUCAGACCAAUCCUCCUCCGACUCAGAGCAGUCGCCAAACAAGACCGCUUACUAUGCUGUUAGAAACAAACUCAAAAGUUUAUUAAAGGAGCACGAGAAUGCUAAAUUUGUCGUUACAGGUCAUAGCUUAGGAGGAGCGUUGGCUAUACUAUUUCCUACGAUGCUAGUGAUGCACGAGGAAGUGAAAGUCAUGCAACGAUUAUUGGGUGUAUACACGUACGGGCAACCUAGGAUCGGGAAUAGGCAGUUAGGGAAGUUUAUGGAAGCACAUUUGGAACAUCCAGUGCCUAAGUACUUUAGAGUUGUUUAUUGCAAUGAUCUUGUUCCGAGGUUACCUUAUGAUGAUAAAACAUUCCUGUAUAAGCAUUUUGGUAUUUGCAUGUAUUACAACAGCUUAUACAUUGAGCAGGUAAACAUCAAUGCCUUAUUGUCUGCAUUUAUCUCCUUUUUUGUCUUCUGAAUGCUGCUGUAAAUUUAUUUACUUUUCAUCUCUCAGAAAGUAGAUGAAGAACCAAACAGGAACUUUUUUGGGCUGCGAUUCGUGUUACCAGUGUAUCUGAAUGCUGGUUGGGAGUUCAUUAGAAGCUUCACCAAUGGUUACAUAUAUGGAUCAGAGUACAAGGAGAGUUGGGAUUCAGUACUGCUUCGGUUUGUAGGCCUUUUUGUUCCAGGCAUUUCUGCUCACAGUCCAGUUGAUUAUGUGAACUCCAUAAGACUUGGAAGGGAGAGAAGUAUUCAAAUGUCAUCCUUUUAGAAAUUACUAUUACUUGAUGGAAAUGAAUCGAUAAGGUUGAUUUUAUUAUGAGUUUUGUACUGCAGCACUAGUAUCAAAUGUUGUUGAUUUUGAAGGUCUCUUUUAGCAUUUAUGUCUUGAAAAUAAACUCAUUAGAGUUUUUGUUAUCUUGAAUAAUGUUAUAUGUUAAUAAGGUAGGAGUACGGUCUUUGUAAUCACUACCCAUCCUAGACCCCACAUGUGGGAAUAUACUGGGCAUAUUAUUGUUGUUGUUUACACAUCAAUUUUAGGUGUUGUAAUGCAAGAAUUGUUGCACCAGUUAUGAGUUUUCGACUGAAUGUAUUAAUAAGAUGACAUUCAAAGGGUUGUAGAUUGGAUUUGUUCCUGUAACAUUAUUGAAUAAAUCUUAUUUCAAUGAUUACAUGUUAGAUAUGUUUGAAUAUGAAGAUGAAUUGCAUCAGUUGAGUUUUUAUUCUACAAAUCUUCAGCCAGGAAACAAGUACUUAUCUGUGAUCAGUUAAAACUGAAACUAAAAUGUUCAAAAUGGUUUACAUCCAUAUAUCAGUAUUCCCUUUUGGAUGUUACCUGCCUUAAAAAUAAAAUGAGAAAACUGUUCUUUCCGAAAAUCUGCCAAAAGAUUAUGAAAUUUCAGAAACUGAAUUAGUAAACAGAUUAAAUGCCCCUUAUUAUGGAGCUUUAUUAUCACAGAUUUGAUUUGGUUUUAGCUGUCAUAUAAAGUGGUACAACAAAUUAAAAGCAAGACACAAUGUCCCAGGAUUAUCUUGACUUCCCUCGUAGAAACCUCAAUUAGAAACACCCUCGACAUGGUUGGUACAUAAGAUCAUGAACAUCAUUGUCUCUUGACAUGUCUCUCGUGGAACGCAUGAAAUAAGAUUUACUCUGAGACAGCAUCAUUAGAUAAGUUUGUUAUAGGAAGAGAUGGGGUCUGUUGCUCGCAGAUUCAAACUGUAUAAGCCGUUUGAAUUUUGUUAAAGUCCAGAUUCUUAAGUCUUGCUACUGAUUCAAUAUGACCUCUCAAUGUAUACAACUCUCUUAGCCUGCAAAAAUUUUUAUACACAUAGAAGAUCAGCCAAGCAGUGCAUUCAACUGUCAGUUUGAAAGCACAACGUCCCAAAUAGAGAGAAGGUAAAACCUUACCGAACCAAGAAAUUUAACUUAGUCGUUGAAAAUUAACGUGAGACUUAGUGACGAAGCCAGUAAUUUUCCUAAGUGUGUCCAAACUUGAAAGAAGUAAAAAAAUUCCCGACAAAAGGUGUUCAAUCUAUGUUAUAUACCUCUAAAACCUAAUAUUUUACUUAUAUACCCAGUGUAAUUUUCUGACGAAGGGCCUUACUAGAGUGUAGCUUCGCCCCUGGUGAGACUACAUGUCAUUUAACCAUGGCUAAGUGAAAAAUGUGUGUAUGCAAGACACCUGUCUUUCAUUCAUUGGUUUGAUGUUAACGCCGGAUGCGGAUAAGAUCUGUCAAGACAAUGUAUUUAGGAGACCUGGUUAUUUCUGCUCGACGCUUAGCUUGUUCAGCAAUCAUAGAAGGUCCCCUGCUUUUAGUUUCAAACUCAGGUGAUAUUACCCCUUGUAGAGUUCUCACAGAAAGCACCCACUUGGCCUCUCUGUCUUCCUUUCCAUAGUCCUUUUUAGAUGUAAAAGCAGUCUAUCCAAAUCAAAAAAGAAAAGAGAAAUGAAUGACUGUAAACUAAGAAAUCAUAGUCUUUGCAUCUAAUGACAAUGAAAUCCAAAAAUUUUCUGCUGACCUUAUCAAAAAGUAGGUUCCAGGCUUCUCCAGUCAGACCAAAACGAACAAUGAAUUUAAUUAUAUCUAAGGGAAUAUAGAAAAUAAGACUAUAUAACCAUAUGACUCCUGCCCAUCCCCAGCCGAUGCCACUAAUUGACGCAAAUUCAAUAUGUGCAUAAACUGCUAUCAAGGUAGCAACCUGUACAAACAAAAAACAACAUGUUUAAACUCAAACAAUGAAUGGAGUUGGGAGUUAUAAAUUUGGUAGCCCUUACCAGUUGGGCAACCACAAAUGCAAACAUCAAAAGAAGCGCUGGUCUCUCUAUAAAUGACCAACUCUGACUGCGCGUGACAAAUAUUAGCGCCUGGCUAAUAAUACUGACUUGCAGAUAUAUGGCUGCUGAGAUUUCUUCAGUAUUUCCACUUAUAGAUUUUACAUGGAAGUGAGUCUACAUGUAAUAAAUAGUUAACUAAGUAAUUGAACGAAGUAACUGAAGUUAGAAAAACUAAGAAUAAUGAUACCUCAAAGAAUUGAGUGCUGUCUGCAAGCCAGUAAAACAACACAGUAACUAAAGCAAGAUAGGUGCCAAUCACAAUGCCAGUUGCAAAGAUCUCGUUAAGCUUCCAACUGUCGGGUCCUGGAGAUGGUUUAACGCGAUCUUUCGAAAUAGUCAUGAUAGUACCUAUCAAUAAAGCAGAGAAAAAUAUGAAUUGCAUCAUGACCUUGCUAUGCUUUCAGAUAGGUGUAAGUCUAAGGAGAAACAGACAGAAGCGAGGAACUAUGUGUGGUAAUAAGGAUUACAACAAGUCCUUCCCGAAUAAAUUCAUAUAAAAAAAAGGGCAGCCCGGUGUACUAAGCUCCCGCUAUGCGUUGGGUUUGGGGAAGGGCCGGACCACAAGGGUCUAUUGUACGCAGCCUUACUCUGCAUUUCUGCAAGAGACUUUUUCCACGACUCAAACCCGUGACCUCCUGGUCACAUGACAACAGUGGUGGACGCACGUGGUGGCAAACUGAACCCGCUUCAUCAAAAAAUAAUACUGUGUAUAUGUAUAAAUUAGGAUUAAAGUUGCGUAAAUUUUGUAUAAAUAUUUUAUUUGAACCCACUUGAUAACUACUAUUUUACGACUAAAGUUAUGUCCUUCUAAGAUUGAACCCGCUUGCACAAAAUCCUGGGUCCGCCACUGCAUGGCAACAACUUUAACAGUUACGCCAAGGCUCCCUUCCCCGAAUAAAUUCGUAUAAGAUUUUGAUUUUGGUGCUCCCUUAGUUAUCUUUCUUGUUUAAUAUGAACUUCUAAAAUAAAUAGCCAUAGGAUAAAACCUUACCAUCAUUUAGGAUUGCAAUUAUCAGUACCAUGAAUGGAGGAAAGUCAUAUUCCCAUAUUAGUGCCAGAAGCAUGAAACCAAGCUGCAGAAAACAUAAGGUUUAUCGCAUAUGAUCAUAAAGUUAAGACUAUCGAAAUAGCUAAAAAUAAAACAGUUAACAGGAACUCGAUGCUUUACCACAAUUCGUAUGGUUAUGGAGACAGCAUAAAUCUGCAUUAUUAGGAGUAGCAACCCAUUAAAUGAAGUUAGAACGGCAAAGAGAGCAAAUAAGAUCUAGACAGGUGUAUCGAAAACACACAAAAUUGUGGAUUUGACUUAACUGUAUAAUUUUUCAUUCUUUGAAAUAUAGCCCUGCUAGUCAAAACAGCACUGACAAUCACACUUAAUCCAGGCUCAGUCAAGACAAGAUCAGAAGCACUUCUAGCAGCAUCAGUAGCAUCAGCGACUGCUAUACCAAUAUCUGCUUUCUUGAGAGCUGGGGCAUCAUUUACUCCAUCACCAGUCAUUCCAACUACGUGCUCGUUCGCUUGCAGGAUCUUUACUAUCUCAUAUUUAUGUUCUGCGUAUAAUAUGGGAAGAAUAAUUGACAUGGAACAGAAAAUGAUUUUGAACAGCUAUAGCACUAAAACAGAAGCAGAAGGAGAAGUUACUCUAAACUUGAAGAAUGGAUGAUGCUACAAUACUGUUUUGAAAUUAAGGGGAAUUAGGUAUAGAACAACGUUGUUAUACUUAGUCGAAAUUACCAGGGAAUACACCAGCAAAGCCAUCUGCUUUUUCAAUGAGCUCAUCAACUGGUAAAGCUUCAUUUUCAUCCUUGUCACGACCAAACAAUGAAAAUGAGGGGUACAUAUUUGUUCCCAUUCCAAGUCGUCGGCCUGUUUCCUUUGCAAUGGCCAACUGGUCACCUGUUCUGGGCAUAAAACAAGUUAAAAUAGAACUUGUUCUACUAGCUGCCUAAAUAGUCUUUUACUUUUCAAAAGAAAAAUAUGUCAUGGACAUGAACAUUGAAUGUUCUUCUAAUGUUAUUCUUCUAUUUCGCUUUUCUUUUAUAUGUUCUAAUCUUUGUUUUAUAACUUUUUCUCCUGUCAUCAUAUACUUCAUCGUAAAUAUCCAUGCCUAUGCCAUUUGUAUUCCUCAGAAGAGAUUGUAGGAAGUUUGCUAAAAAGAAAGUAAAAUGAAAUUUGACAUGUUUCUGCUUUCCCCAAUUAGGUGAACCAUGAUAAAUAUGAGAACUAACCAUGUUAUUAUGUGUGCACAUUAGCCGAUUAAUAUUAAGUUAUAUACCUGUAAUCAUCUUAACGCAAACUCCUAAAUUGAGUGCUCUGAGGAUGGUCUCAGCACUAUCAUGCCUUGGUGGAUCAAACAACGGAAGCAAUCCACAAAAUGCCCAAGGCCCGCCAGGACUCUCCUUCGAAUUUUCUGGAAUUUCCUACAAUACUCAUAGCAUAUAGAAGAUAUAAUCUUUCUUACAGGAUAAUUGUAAUGCUGAGAAUAAGGAAUGUAUCAUAAAAUCCUAUACAUUGGCUCAUGUAUCUGGCUAGUUUUGAUACAAUAAAUACAAAGAUCAACCUUCCAUUUGCAUAAUUUGUUUUUGUCAAAUGUUUUUACAUACUUACUAAUCUCCACUUCAAUUUUCAUGGCAAACUGUAGUAACUAUAUUCAGUGACUUGUAAGUUGUAAUAGUAAAUAGACAAGGAAAACCAUUACCUGAAAGGCAACAGCUAGAGAGCGUAACCCUCUUUCGGCAAACCUGUCAAUGAUUGCAUGCAUUUUUGCAGCUAUCUGUUGCUUCUCUUGGCACAAAUCCAGUAUCUGAGUUUCAGGAGAAAAGGCAAACAUGAAAUAGAGGUAGUUAUAAGGGCAAUAAUCAUACCAAAUUCUCAAGGAGACGGAAACAUAAGCAGAAAGGAAACUUAUAUUAUUCACUACAGACAUGCAUCCAUUGGCUGAGAAAAGAGAAAAUAUGGCCAAAUUUUAUAGCUUCUUUCUGCUUUAAUUUUCUCUUGGCAAUUAGUAAUAACUCAAAACAGUUUCCCGGAAAACUACUAAUAAUGUAAGUUUAAUGUGAUUAUCAAAUAUUAGGUGCCAGUUACUUAGGCCAGAGAGAUACCGUUGCUUUGAGAAAGGAGGUUAACAAACUGAUCAUAAUAAACACAAAAACCUUAAUCAUUUAAAUGACAUCAGCACCUGUUCAGGAGCUCCUUUGCUAACUCGAUACCACUUGCCAUCUGAAUCAAUGUAGGUGAUUGCAGUCCGUUUAUCCACAGGAUUGAAUGGAAGGAAAUGCACUUGCCUGAUAUUUGCACGCGCCUGCAUAUACGAAUGUAACUAUAAUUUUUGUCGUAAUGCCCUAAAAGCUAUUCAAGAAACUCCGUCGCUAAAGAAAUGAUGAGGUCCCCAGAGGGCAUUAGGCUUCACCUCCUUUGGAUCAGCAAGCAUGUUGAUAAUUGCUGCAUCAAUAGCGUCCUGAUUUUCCAAUCUUGAUGCUCUAGCAGCAAGUAAUACAACCAUAUCUUUGUCCAUAUCUCUUUGGAACACCUGUUUAGGAAAGGUUUUGAUUAAAGAAUCCACAGGAAGAGAAGUCAGAUGAAAAAGUCGUGUACCUCAAUGAGAUUCCUAUCGACAGUGAGGCGAUUCAGGGUCAGCGUCCCUGUCUUGUCACUGCAGAGUACAUCCAUACCAGCCAUCUCUUCAAUUGCAGUCAUCCUUUUUGUAAUAGCUCCCUGAAGUUAACAAGGACAAAAAGUAAAAAAAUUAUUAUAGAGUACAGUCCGAAGGCCAAAUUACACGUUAGCUCUUGAGAUCAUUCGGAUGAGAUGUGAUGCAUUAUUAUUAGUCUAGAGAAGAUAGACUAAUUUCAUGACAUUUUCAGAAUACUGACAAGCGUGUACCUGUUGAGAGAGUCGAUGGGAGCCAAUAGCGAGUGUAACUGAUAGGACUGUUGGCAUAGCUAUUGGUAUUCCACCAAUUAAGAGAACAAGAAGGUUAUUAAUUCCAGUCCUAUAUGAACGACGCUGAACAGCGUACAUGAUAAUGAUUUCAAGUAUCAUUCCCACAGCUAUUGAGCAUAUGCAGAAAUUUCCAAUGGAAGCAAGGACCUGCAGUGAAGCGUGCAAACUUUUAAAUCAGGAAAAACUCGAGUAGAACAGCUUCUAUUCUAUCUCUACUCUCGGCUUCCUUCUCAGCAUAACAUGAAAUUAUCAAAAUUGAAGAAUUAAGAAAGAACUAAGUAUCACUGAAUUUUCUUUUCUAACCUUCUGGAAGUGACCACUGACUUCAGUAGAGUCAACGAGAUGUGCAGCUUUUCCAAAGAAUGAGUUAACUCCAGUGGCGAUUACUACAGCUUCUAUUUCUCCAUGUUUACAAGUAGAUCCAGAAAACACUUCAUCUCCUGUCUUUUUCGUGACGGGUAGAGAUUCCCCAGUAAGAGCUGACUGCAAGAAAACCGUAUUAAUUAACCAUACUUAAGUAACAAAAUUAAGUAACAAAUUCCAUAUUCCAAUAAACUAAAAGGCUGUCAUGGUACUAUUUGUCGAAUAAGGAAUUGCCUGAUCAACUUUCAAUGGAUCUCCUUCGAGCAAUCGAGCAUCUGCAGGGAUGAUAUCACCGAGCUUUAUGCUAAUGAUGUCUCCUGGCACUAAAAUAGCAGCAUCUUUUUCUUGCCACCUCCCAUCUCUAAGAACCUAUAUAUAUAUAUAUAUAUGCAGAAAGGGGAUAUUUUACAUUUUAAUUAUUUAGUAUAACGCGACAAGAUCACUGUGACAAGAGCAAACCUUAGUUCUAGGAGCUAAAUGUGCCAUUAGAGCUGCUGCAGCAUUUCCAGCAUUAUUUUCCUCUAUGAAACUAAUUGUUGAAUUUAUCAACAACAGACAAAAUAUACCAACAAAGUCCUGCCAAUCAGUACCUUGCCCCUGAAAUUUCAUGAACGAAAAAGAUACUCCGAUAAAGAUCAGUAUUGCAAGAAAAGUUGUAACUGAUCAACUGCAAAUCAAUUUGUAGUAAACGUAAACUCACUCCGCCAUUAGCUAGUCCAAUAGCCAUGAUUGCUGCUGCUUCCAUCACCCAAGACAAUGGAUUCCACAUGAAACUAAGAAACUUAAUAAACUUGUUCUCCUGCAUCAUUAUAUUAGUACCACUUUUAUGAUCUAGACAAGCAUUCUACUUUCAAAGGCCAACUUUAAAAUUAAAGCUGAAGUAGAGCAUUAUUAAUGAUUAGUUCUAUUCAGUGUUCGACGAUAACAAAAUGUUUUAGAACAAAUAGCUAGCAUUCGCAUUAUUCUCAUCUUUUUCUUCUGUGCAGCAAUAUAGUAUUAAUUAAAAAAACCACAAAAGUUGGCAAGGUGUACCAUUGUCCUUAUUUAGAAACUUACUCGCUUCUCUUCAAGCUUGUUAGGUCCAAAAAUGUUGAGUCGUCGCUCUGCAUCUUCAGCUGAAAGUCCUUCCUUCGAUGUUAUCAAUUGUUCGAAAACUUCUUCAAGUGGCAAGUUUUCCUGCAACAAGUCAUGUGAAUACGAUUAAUAUGGAACUGCUAAAGAUGGAAAAAACGCAAGGAAUGAAGUUGUGAAGUUAUUUAGGUGUCCAUAUAUCAAUGUUAAGAGAUACUAUUAUUAAACUCAAGUGUUGUCUUAAUUACCAGAUCAAUCCCUUCCUUCAUGAAAUUUUCAGGACCUAGCAAUGGUUUCUCCAGAUCUUCAGCCAUGUUUACUCUAUGGAAACUGAAAUUUACAAAUAAGUAAAUAAUAUCUUUGAGGAUGAGGAAAAAUAAAAGCAUAUUGAGAAAAAACUCCAUUACCAUGUCCAGCAUGAUUGAUCUAAUGCAGGUCGAUUAUGAUAUUUAGCUAGUCCAUUUGUUCCGAUUUAUGUGGCACUCUUUCUUUCUUAAUUUCUAUAUUCAGAAACUCCUUAAAUUUGAACUUCCCAUUUUACACCCAAUGACAUGCUCUUAUCGCCACACAAAUGUCAUGGCAUAACCAAGUUCUAAGGGUACCUUUGGUACGUGCCAAAUAUAUAUUUAUUUCUUAAACUCCGUGCGUAAUCAUACACUACAAUUUGUGCACAAUUUUGUGCAUAAGAAGAGGAAAGAAACAUGGAUACACACACACAGUCACACGCACACGCGCGCACACACUAAAUCACUUCUCCAUAAAGUGUGAAGAAAAUAAUACAAGCUAUUUCCAGUGAGAACUUCAUGCAUAUGAUUGUAGCUGUAAAUGGCACGGAAAAAAAGAACAAAUAAUACCUAGAAAUUUCAAAUCAAGUGUAAGACAUUCAUCUUUUAUUAUGCGUAUGAAGAUGACUCUUACACCAUCAAAAUUUAAAUAAAUAUUUAAAAAAAAAAAAACUUGAUAUGAUCACUUACUUUAGAGUUUAGAGUGAAAAAAGCAGUAGGCUUAUGAGACUAGUUUCUGAAUCAUGGGGGUUAUUGUGAAAGGAAUAUUGUCGCUGUUACUAUAUGCCUUUUGGUGUUAUUUAUUAAGUACAUAAAUAAAUGCUAACCAUCUUUCACCACUUAACUUUCAAACCAAAUAGUCCACUUUUAAGCCAACUUAACAACCUUUUUGACUCCCGCCUAUAAUUAAUUUCCUUAGCAUUUAAACCUGUCAUGGUCAUUCCCCUUCGCUUUCCAUGUUUGAAAGUGCUCUUGGAGGUAAAUAGGGCGAAGCGCAGCAAUAACCACUUUUAAGCCCGCUAUUUAAAAUAUAUUCACAAUUUACAAUGUAUUUAAAGAUUAGCCAAUUCACCCAAACUUCAGGACUAAGUAUCCUGAAUUUGGAAAUUCAGGACUUAGUGUCCUGAAAUUUUGAGCUGCUAAUUUAAAAUUCAGGACAUAAGGUUAUGCUACACAUUUCUCAGGUGCAAAUAUUAUAAACUUAUGGGGAUGAUAAUAUCAGGAAAAUGAAGGCAAUUUGGUCUUUGCUUAUGAACGAUUUCUUAGACAGAACACCAACAUGGAGGCUGAAACUUGGGCUUUGCUACAUGGUUUUAAAUGAUGUAAUUUGGAGCACGGUCUUCCUUGUAUUUACCUAUAUAAAUUUGAUUCUAUUACUUUUACCUUACCUUGUUCACUUAAGUAAUAUUGUUACACCAAUUUGUAUGCAGAAUAUAAAGCGAAGUUUGUAUGCCAAUCACCUCUUCUUAAAUUGUGCAACACUAACAGCUUGUUUGGAUGGUUGUUAUUCACCGUUUCAUAAUGUAUUGUAUUACACUGUAUUGUUUUGAUAUAUACAAUGUUGGGAUAGAUUGUAUUAUUUGCCGUUGAUGGCAUGCACCACCAAUAUGAAGAAUAAAACUUGCAAUAUUACAAAGAAAAAGUAAGAUACGAGAUAAAAUUAUUAUAUAAAAAGGUAGGGUAAAAGAUAAAAUAAGAUUAUUUAAUAAUAAGGAAGGGCAAGAUGAGAAAAAAUAAAUAAGGUAACGACGCGACUAUACCGAAUCGGCCGUUCCAUAAAGUGGCACUUUUCGUCGUUAUGUAACGACGGAUUUAACUAUACGAUACAAUAAAAUUUAAGUAACAAUCAAAACAAACAUUGUAUUUAAAGUAAUAAUACGAUACAAUAUACAUGUAACAACCAUCCAAACAAGCUGUAACGUUCUAUCCACUUUCCUGAGGGAUCAAAUUCGAACAGAUAGCUCGGAUAGCAUAAUAGCAUCGUUAUGUUAUGUAAACAAACCAAUCUUCUGCUCAAAUCCUCAAUGGUACUAAUUACUUGAUCAACUAAGGGAUAUGUCAAAACAACAACAGUUACAACAACAAUACCAAUUGGCAAUUACAUCAACAGAGCAACUGAACACCUGGAACAUGUGAAAGAGGUAACAGCUGCUAAUUGGGAAGUACCUAAUCUAACCAGCAUCACUGGCAUAUUUGAAUAGUAACAUCAUUUAUCAAUCCAAUCUUUGAAAAGAAGCAUCAUAUAUAGAGGGACAUUAAAAGCUGCAACAAUAAUAAUUAUACUUAAUGUCCGCACCAAUCUCCUAAUUACCAUCUUUGUCUUUGAUUUGUUUGUCCGAGGCUGUGCUUUUACCGCGGCAUCUAAUCCUAUAUGUAAAGUCACAUCCGUGGGAAUUGAGGCAUCUGUUUCCUGUGCAUUAGGUUUUCUGGCAACUGACCGCAUGAUAGCAUUACCCCUGCAUUGGAAUAAAAGGCAUCUAAACUUUUGCAAAGAAGAAAAUUUAUAUUUCUAUGAAACUUGACCAUCAAAUAAACUAAAAUAAAGAGGCACCACAUAGAGUACAGAAGUAAGAAUGAGAACCAUUGUACUGAAGUGACCAUCACAUGGAUAACUUUCUUAUCAUGCAGAAAUCAACAACAUAAAAUCAAAUUUCUGAAAGAGAAAAAAUUGAAGGACUACUACAUGCCAAAUUGCAGCAUGGUAUACUCCGCCAUUGGCAGUAGACUUAGACACAGAUUGCUACAGGUACAUGGGACUAGUGAUAAUGCACAACUGGAUCCUAACAAAGUUCCACCGUUCAUCAUUUAGGAGGCAACUUCGAGAAGCUUGGAUGAAUGUUGAGACAGGAGUAACACAAGCAUGCUUAAGUAAAUAGAAAAAGUACUGGUCCUUGCUGACAGAAACUUACCGUUCUACCAAAGCGCUUUCACUUGAGCAUGCAGAAGAAACUUUAAAGGUUUUCUUUAUAAGGUGCAUCGAUCCUUCUGCAUCCCAAAUCUCCUCAUAUUCAUAUAUCUCAUCUUCGCUUUUAAGUUUUGUCCCACCUCCAGAAAUGCUAGAACUAAUUAGACUUCUAAUAUUCUUCAGAAAUUCACCAAGAUAGUGUGGAAAGAGCACCCCAUUUGUUGGCCAAAGGACGGCAAUAAGAACGGUCAUGACAAACAGCACUAGAUACCUGACACAUCCACAAACAACCUUUAACAUUACAAGAAACAAGGUUUAUAAGAUAAAUAUUUUUUAAUCUCAAUAUACUGAAUUACCAAAUAUAAAUGUACGUCUGCACAGGGAGAAAGCAAACUUUGGUGGAAAUUGCCUCCUCUGCCAUUGAUCCGGCUGGUAAGAUAAGAUUACUUGCAGAUAAUAGCAUGAAAGAUGGAAACAGAUUUCCCAUCUGCCAGCUUAUGGUCCCUAGAGUGUGCUGCACAACACUAUCAAUCAAACACCAUCUAGUCAAUACAAACUACUUUUUCAAUUGAACAAGGUACAAUACCUCUUUUACAGAACCAUAUUUGGAUCUGUGGGUUACUGUACACUGAUCAUGGUCAUGCCCAGAAAGAAUUAGUGCCUGCAGAAACUCGAAUUAAUGCAUAGAAAUUUCUUCCUUUUUUAUUUGUUUUUUUGUUUUGGACGUGCAUCAUAAAAUGAAAGGAAAUACUUGCAGGUUUUUUUUUUUGAUAAGGUAAAUUGUAUUAAUCAAAAGGGAGAAAAAACUCCCGUAUACAAGAAGUAUACCAAAAAGUAGAAAUACUUACAGGUUUGAUAGACUCAAGCAGGUCAUUUGUUCCGUUUUCAGUAAUAUAAUUUUGAUAUCUGCAAAUGGAAUUGUAACCAAGUCUGACAUAAACAUCCAUGCGUACAAACACGGUAAAUCCAUACUAAGCCACUACAGUGAGACUAAGAGCUUACAAUAUUUCAUUAUCACGAGCAGCACGGUUGAUUCUCUGAAAUAAAUAACAAAUAUGUAAUUUUUUAUUUAUAAAUAUGAGAGAUAUGUUAAUUAACCAUAUUACAAAAAAAAUCACAAUUUUCUCCUCAAAAUAGCAAUAAUCAAACAGAAAAAGAAUUUUUGAGGACUGUUUAGGUUCUCGAGAUUCUCAAUAAGAAUCAUUUAGGCUCUCGAGACUCAAUCGCUUAACUGGAGAGGAAUGGUACAUGAAUGGCAGUUUCCAGACGUGGAAAUCCUUCCCACUAUAAAUAGAAAAAGCUAAGUUUUUCAAAGAAAGGCUAAAUGUUACCUGAUUAAUGAUUGAUGAUGAACGAUAUGGACCGCAUGCAGUUAGACCUGGCCGAUACAAUGGUAUAUGAGUCAAUAGAACCCUUGGAUUCGAAGAUGGAUCUGCACAGAGAAGAGCAAAAUGAGCCGAGGGUCUUACACGUAAGCCAAAUUCAAAACAUAGAUGGAUAGUGAUUGGCAGAACAUACGCUCUGAGACAUUUUUGACAAAAUUCCAUAUGGCAGAAGUUACAUUGUUUUGGGGAUUCCCUGGAGACAAGAUAUCUUGCUGUGAGUCUUUUCAAAAUAACAACACCAUGAAUCGAACCAACAGAGUCUCUGUUUCAUGCUAACUGAUAGGAAGAAAAGCAAAUCAUUAAGGUGGUGUUUGGUUGAAAAUAUCCGAAAUUAAGUUUGCCAAGAAAAAAGAAAUUGAAUAUUUUCAAACAUCUUUUUUUUUCCCUUUUGGUACCAGAAAGUUGCACCCAAGAAAAUAACUUUUGCACUAGCGGUCCGAAAAGAGGUUUAUGGAACUAAUUACUGCCAGAACUAAUGUGAAGAGGAAGACAUGAACUUGGCACGAAAUUGUAAAAAAACUAAAGAUAAAUGAAUUACUCUCUCCGUUCCAAUUUAUGUGAACAUGUUUGACUGGACACGGAGCUUAAGAAAAAAUAGGACUUCUGGAGUUUGUGGUCCUAAACAUGUCAGAAAAGGGUCCAAAGUAUUUGUGUGGUUAUAAAAGCUUCUCAUUAAGGGUAGAAUUGGAAGUUUAAACUAAAAUAUUUCCAAAUUUAGAAAGGGGUCAAUCUUUUUGGAACGAACCAAAAAGGAAAUAGGUUCACAUUAACUGGAACGGAGGGAGUAGCAUUUUUUAGACACUGCAUUGGUACAUAAAAAGGAUUCAAACGAAUUGGGAAGCACUGAAAUAAGAGAGAGAAAUCAGGCUACUAUACUCUUGAACACUCAAAUAUGGAUGAUACAACUUUGACACUGAAAACAAUGAGAAUAGUUUAUCUCUAAACAGUAACUGUUGAAGUCCCCAAAGUUUUAUAUACUAAAAAGAGAUCCAAAUAAAGUGCAGAUUGUGAAAUUACCAUCCAAGGUUUGUGCAUCGAUUGCGAUGAAAUCUACUUUUCCAGCUGUAAAUUGAUAGUUCCUUGCACCAAAUGCUCUCUCAUAGCGUCUGAUAACCUGCAUUAUGGUGUACACAGAUAAGAACCGAAAUAGAAUAGGAGGAAAUGACGCUUAGACUGCUAAAUGGCUGACAUAUUUUAAGCAUAAGAAUCUAAAGAAAUCAUCUACUGCCAAUAAAACAGAUAAAAAGAUCCAAGAUAUAAAUGUCAGAGACUGGAAGUAGGUCUGGAUCAUUGCUGAUUGAACUAUGCAACUUGCCAAGCUCCCUAUGUCUUAAAACAUAGUGAAGAUAAGCACUUUUCUCUUGGCUGGGAAAGGCAACCAGCAUCCCUUAAACAGUGACGCAACUGAUUUGCAGAUAAAUCAAAUUGGAAAAAAAGAAAUUGAUGGCCGUCAUGAUAUGUAAAGACAGUCAUCCCUUCUCCAAAAAUGAAAGAUUCAUAAAGCUAAAUGUGAAAACUUCCUUAUUUAAGAAAUUAUAUUUGAAAGAAAAAUAAAGAUAAUACUGAAUAUUCUGCUUCUUCGACCAAGCAUGAGCAAUAAAUGCACAAAAAUCUGUAUGUCAAAGUUUCCAGUAUGCAGAUAUCCAUAGGCAAGUGACAUCACAAAAUAGCUAUCCAAAUGGAAGCAUGAUUUUGUCUUAUAGCUUAAAACCUUGAACUCUAGUAGCAAACUAUAACUUCUGGUCAGAAUCAUAAGUUGAUUUCUAUAGAGACAUUUGAUGCUCAUUGAAACAAAGCACUGAUACCACAGGCAUUGAAGUUUCUUUGGGUUUCCUUAAGCAUCUAUAAACACAUCCAAUUUACCAUCAACAGCAAAAAGUAGAUGACCGUUUCUGAAUAUUCUUCAUGUUAUGAAUAAUCAAUUAGUUAACUGUACUGAGUAAUCGGAUGAUCACCACUGCAUUAUUGAGUUCAGUCACCCAACCCAAUGAACUAUUGAAUUAUCCCAGUUAUUCAACUUAUUCUGCUAUAGAUGAUGAUGCUGUCUCCAGAUCCUCUCAAUGUGAAAACAUGGCACUCAUCAGAACUUUUGGUUGUGGAGAAUUUGGGUGGGUCAAAAUCCCUUUAUAAUUAUGAUCAACAUGGUAACUUGCUACAGGCAAUCAUGGACACUAUUCCAGCUCACAGCUAAGUUUUCUUCCAAAAUUUCCUAAUGUGGUAACUGAGCUCGCGCAAGCCGGAGCUCGCCAACAAACAUUUCUUCAAUAUACAUCGUACAACGAUGAUCCUUUACAUAAUAGGUUUGUUUCAUGUAACAUUUUAGAAGAAGAUUUAUCUCUAUUCUUCCAGAAGCUUAUGAGUAAUUGAUACACGAUGAUCCACUACAUAAUAGUUUUGUUUCAUGUAACAUUUUAGAAGAAGAUUUAUCUCCAUUCUUCCAGAAGCUUAUGAGUAAUUGAUACAUGAUAAGAAAUGGGAUAUGAACAAGUCAAAAAGCAUAUUAAAUUCAAAUUUAGCUUAGACACUCAAAUAAUAUGUUCUGAGUAUAGAACUCUAUCUGAACAGUUAACACACCUCUGGCAUAUGCGAGUGAAAAGCAGCAUACCCUAUAUCAUGGUUUCCAGCAAGGUAGUAAAGCUUUAUGUUUGCAGUUUGCUCAAGCAUAUCAAUGUUAAAUAUAUGCUUAAACCGGCUCCAGGAUUCCUGCCAUCUAUCAAAUUAAAUAAAUCAAAGCUCAAAGCAGAAGAAUAACUGGAGAACAUUCAGAUAGGUUAUGCAUGAAAACAACUAAAACAUGACUUUUCUAGAAGGAUCAACUAAUAGGAUUGGGCCUUGAAUUAAUCCAGAUAAUAAUGUGAAAAGGGGAAUGCCAUGGGAACUUGUUUAUCAAAGCCAGGUUUUGAUCCUAAUCCAAAAAGUAGUUUAACUUUUUUUUAGGAAAGACCUUCAGGCAGAACAUUAAGCAUAUACAACUUAGCAAUUAGUACUUACUCUUCAUCAGACAGAAAAGGCCCACCAUCAAAAUAAUCACCUAGGAACAGAAUCACAUCUGGUUUGAAAGGUAAAAUAGAAGAUAGGAAUGCCCUACGCAUGUACAAAUCUGUAUAGAACUGAGCAGCUUCAAGUGCAAGGGAUUUCGGGGCAAGAUGAAGAGAGGUUCUAUCCAUGAGCUGUCAAAAUGUAAGAUAUCUUGUGAAUAUGAAGUCAAAAUUGCAAAGCACAGAAAAAUUAUAAAAUAUGCACAGUAAAGCCACCUUUAGUUGCAGAAGGAAUACCUGAGGAUCAGUAACAACAGCAAUUUUCACAUAGUCACGUUGAUGAUCUACUCCAUCCCUCUAAAAUCAAGGAGAAGAAAGGUUAGUAUGCCUGAGGGGUCUUUUUUAUUUUGAUUGAUGGUAUAGCAAUAAUAAUACAAAAUCCCACAUAACAUAGUACAGUGUUUGGUUGGCUGCAUAAGGAAAAAACAAAUAACUAAUACAGUGUUUGAUUGGUGGUAUUAAGCAAAACCCGUAUUAAGUUAUGCAGUAACAACAACAACAACCCAGUAUAAUCCCACUAGUGGGGUCUGGGGAGGGUAGUGUGUACGCAGACCUUACCCCUACCCUCGGGUAGAGAGGCUAAGUUAUGCAGUAACUUCUGUAUUAUUUUAUACGGGAUAGAAUGUAGAAUAAGAAGCAUUAGUAAUGCAGGGAUUAAACUAUUUAAAGACAAGAAUCUCUUUAUUAUUGAUCGCCGCAUAACAAUCUAUUCAGUAGUAAUCACCACACAAUCAAUAUUUGCAUUAUAAUCCCGCACAACUAAAACCAAAAGCCCCCCCCCCCCCCCCUAAGUGUCUUACUAUGCUAAGUUUUGGCACACGCUAAGCAGGAAAAACUAUUACAAUAGUUUUUGCACUAAAAAAAAGCUUGAAUGCUUAUGAAGGGGACAAGCCAUUAAAAUGCACAUGUUAGUACUUAGAUAAUUAAGAAGUAGACUUCAUAAAGGGGAAAGUUACCAGCAAAGCAAUACAUGCCUUGAAUCUUACAAAUGCGUAUUAUGAAACUUCCCCCAUCUAGAGCUAUCAAAUUAUUGCUCGAAAUUAACCACAGAAAUUUCCUCAUGAAGGUAUUUAGCAUACAAAUUCCACCACUCAUACAUGUACGUAUAAGUUAACUUCCCCACAAGACUUCUUAAUUUUCCUUUUAAUUUUUUAAACACGCCAGCCUUUUUUCAAAGCUGGAUCAAUCAGGAGCCUUUGACUUGCUUGGAAUCUCAAUGAGUACACAAGAAUGAAAAUAGAGGAAUUUUCAUAAAACACUACAAUUAGAGCCUAAUUACCAUACAUAACAAUAGUUUGCCUAAUUACCAUUCGUAGUUACUGUUCAAUUAUUACCAGCUUGUAUCAUUUGCAUUCAGACGCACAACGAAUACAACCUGUAUCAAGUGUAUUUGUACGCGCAACGAAUACAACUUGUAUCAACUAUAUUCGCCGUGCCACGAAUAUAACCAAGACAAAAUACAAGUAUGUAUAUAAAGGAUACAACCUAUAUCGACUGUAUUCAUUCACACAGGGAAUACAACCAGUGCGAAAUACAAAAAGAGAGUCGAACUCAAGAGCGGACGCUCUAACCAACUGAGCUACGUGAGCUUGUUGCUCUCUUGUUUCAGUUCAAAACAAUUGAUCUCUUGUUUCAGUUCUACAGGUAAAUUUGCUAUAAAAUCCAAAGCUAUUUCUGAAAGCAUAGCUACGAAUGGUAAAUAUAGUGUAUAUGUUUGCUAUGUGUAAUUUUUCAAUGAUAAUACCAUUCACUGCUCCCAAUAGCAAGGAAGCAGUGCACAAGUACAAAAUGGAAGGCAGAUGAGUUGGGGAGUUUUGGGGGGGGGGGGGGGGGGGGGGCGAGGACAUUGUACAAUUUAAAGAUGAUGACAGUUGACAAGGUGGGUUUAACUAAAUUGCAUAAGCUAAUUCAACAGAUCAAUUGGGAGCAUAAAUUUCUUGUCUAUUAGUAAACGCGGAGCUGAGUAAUUUCCUGAUCUAAAUUUAUGCUGCUUAAGAUGAAUUAGUCUUAAAUCCAGCUCAAGUCAAAGGUAAAGUCAGUGAAUUCUUAUUUCAUCAAAGUUUCGAGCUAUAAAGUUAGAAUAGUACUUCGGCUUACCGUAGAAGGAGGAAGGUGAGGCCAAGAACAGGACCAAAGAUAAGGCACCCAAAAUGCGAACAUCUCGCCAUAGAGGAGGCUCACUGCCCAAACUAAGCUAAGAAAAGCUGCUACCUUUAACAUUUCUUCUCUUCUUAGCUGAUUGGAUCAAUUAGUGUUCUCUACUUCCAUUUGUUAACUACCUCGUAGUCGUAGAUCCUAAAGUAAAAGCUCAGAGAACUGGACAAAAGUUUUGUUGUUCAACACUUGACUCUUACCCGUUAAUGGUGAUUUCUUUUAUUUUUUUCGGUCCUUGUUAUUUCCCAUUUGGACAAUAUUUAGUUAGCAGUUGAAACAACCACUAUUUCAACAAUAUUGGAAAUUAAAGUUGAAAUAAAGUAACUAUUAUAUUAGUACAUGAGUUUUACUUGAAAAAAUUAAUAACUCGUGAGUGAAAACUAUUAUUUUACUUGAAAUACUCCUAUGUUCUCAAACAAAAUUGUUAAUAGUAAAUUUUUAUGUCAAGUUAAAACUGAAAUGAAGUAGUAAACUAAUAAUUAAUUUUACGAAAGUUAUUUCAAUAUUUACAAAUAAUAUUUGGUCUGAUGUUAUGUCCUAAAUAAUAGAGUUCGAAGUAUCAAAGAAAGAUAAUUGUGUAAAGUAAGUAUUAAAUUUUUAAUCUUUUUCGAAAUAAAAAUUUCUAUUAUAACAUCCUGUUAUAAAAGUAUUUGAUUUCCCAUUCAGCAGUGUCAAACCAGUUUGAUGAGGGGUGUAAUAUUAUCUGUGCUGGAUAACGUUUUAAAUUAUAUGAAAAUAAUAAAUAAUUUACUUACUAUUUAUUAUUUAUUCUUUGGCGGCCAAUAUAUUAUUGUUUAUUUUUAUAAUAGAAAUAAAUUGACAUCUUAUAUAUAAUAUUUUAGUAUGUGAUGUAAUAAAAAGUUUUAUCUUAAGAUGAUUAAUGUUUUAAAUGAUUAAAAAUCUAAUGAAGUACUUAUUUUAAUAGAGAGAAAACGGAAUUCAUUUAAAUCACAUCUAUAUCAUAUCAUACUUAUAUUAUAAGUAUAUUAUAAGUAAAACACGAGCUGCUACAGAGGAGCUCCAGUAGCUCCAGUCGGAGGGCAGGCACCUGAGGUACCUGUUGCGGCACCAGCCCUCCAGAAUACUCUAGCCCAGUUUCUGAGCAUGUUCGGCACCUUAGCUCAGGCUGGAUUGAUUCAACUUGCUCCUGCCACAUCUCAGGCCGGGAGAGGAGCACAGACUCCCGUCACCGGUACUCCAGAGCAGCGGGCUCAGAUCGACCAGGUUCCAGAGAUUAUACCGAUGCAGCCGGUAGCUCCAGCUCAACCCGAGGUUAGGGCAGCAACUUCUUAGGCUGAGCAGCUCAGACUUGAGAGGUACAAGAAGUACCACCCUUCUACCUUCAGUGGAUUGGCGUUAGAGGAUGCCCAGGGUUUUCUGGAGAAGUGUUACCGUAUUCUCCGUACUAUGGGUGUAUCNNNNNNNNNNNNNNNNNNNNNNNNNAGCUUCACUUAUAUGGACUCAGUUCUCAAACAUAUUUUUUAGAGAGUAUGUCCCUCAAAGCCUCAGGGACUUAUGGUGCGCGGAGUUUGAGUAGUUGCGCCAGGGUGCUAUGACUGUGUCAGAGUGUGCAGUUCAUUUCAGUGAUUUAGCCCGACAUGCACCGGCCUUGGUUGCCACAGUUCAAGAGAGGGUUCGUCGGUUUAUUGAGGGACUCCACCCCAGUAUUCGGAUCAGUAUGGCCAGGGAGUUGGAGACGAAUAUUUCUUAUCCGCAGGUUGUGAGUAUCGCCAGGAGAUUGGAAGGCAUGCUUGCUCGGGAUAGAGAGGAGAGAGAGGCCAAGAGGCCUCGAGAGUCUAGCUCUUAUUAUGGUGCUCGUGCCCCAGUAUCUCGUCAUGGUAGGGGUUAUGUGAGUCGCCCCAUUCAUUCAGCUCUUCCAGCUGCCAGUGGUGUUCCAGCCCUUUCUAGGCCCCAAGAGCCUUAUUAUGCAUCGCCAGUAUCUAAUGUGCCUCCUACACGGGGUGUUCCCAGAGGCCAGUCCAGCAGACCUGGCUCGAGCCAGUGACAACAGUCACACCCUCCGAGAGCUUGUUUUGAGUGUGGCGACACUCGCCAUAUGGUGAGGGAUUUCCUCACACUUAGGUGGGGUGCACCUCCAUAGACUUCUCAGGCACAACGUGCUCCACCGGGUCUCAGGCUAUAAUUCCAGCACCAGCUACCGCCCCACCUACUCAGCCAGCUCGAGAUGGAGGUUGAGGUCACCCUAGAGAGAGAGGCCAGACCAGAUAUUAUGCUCAUCUGGCUCGUAGAGAGGCAAUUGCUUCCGAUUCUGUCAUUACGGGUAUUAUCCCGGUCUGUCGUAGAGAUGCGUCGAUAUUAUUAAAAAUUAAAAUUACCCUCCGAAAAAUAAUAAAUAUAUAUUAUGACCAUGAUAAAUGAGAACAGAGGCGUUUAGAUCCAUGCAAUAACUUAGUAAAGCCUAUUCAAAUUCUUGGUGUUGUUUUCUCCUUCCCGUACAUUACUACAAAUAAACUAUCUUAACCUCAAUAUUUGGUUAUUCACCUUCCAAUAAUUGUUACAAAUUCGUUCCUUUUUAACUUUAUAAAGUGGACAACUAAAUCAUCAACAACAACAACAACAAUUCACUAGUGGGUCUGGGGAGGGUAGUGUGUACCCAGACCUUACCCCUACCCGGGGUAGAGAGGCUGUUUCCAAAUGACCCUCGGCAUCCUUCCCUCCAAGAACUCCCCAACCUUGCUCUUGGGGUGACUCGAACUCACAACUUCUUGGUUGAAAGUGGAGGGUGCUUACCAUCACAGCAACCCGCCUUGUCUAAAGUAAAACAAUUCUUCCCCUGUCAAACCAUUGUCAAAUGGAAAAAUUCUUUUUGUUUCAUAAAAGAUACUUUUUUUUAUUAGCCAAAUCUGCUCACCAUUUGCAACAACAGCCCAUUUACAAGUCAAAUCAGGUAAUAUUUUUCCUUUUCCUAUUAGUUUUUAUGAGUGUUAUGCUAAUUCUAUAGUUUUUAUAUGUAUUUUUUCAUUAUUAUUGUCAUACAAUGAGUAUCUUUGUUUAUGAAAAUUAUUUGAAUAUACAAUAGAGUCCUAGCUAAUUUUCAUUAGGAAUAGUGCUUAUUUUUUACUUAAUUCCUUUUUAACGUAACCCGAAAAUUUAAUUUCAGGAAUUUGCUAAUUGUCGUCCAUUAGCGGCAGGGCGAAGUUGACCACCCUUCGUCGAAAUAUUACACUGUAUAUAUAGGUUAAAUAUUAGAUUUUAGUGGUAUAUGACAUAUAUUGGAUACUCUUGGGGAUUAUUUUUUACUUCAUUUAAAUUUGAACACCUAAAAUAAAAUUCCUAGCUUCGCCACUUAUUAGCGGACUUGACUUCUUUACAUCAUCUUGUUUUUUCAAUUUCACGGUAAAUAUCUUGGGAUGGGACAAUAUCCUAGUUGUUUCCUUCUAUUUUUUCUCUUUCAUUUGUGUUCUUUAUUUUGGUGUGGCUUGGUUCAUUCCGGGCAGUGGCGGAAGCAGAAUGUUAUUCAACACAUAAUAUAUUUAUUUAUACUAUUUUUUCUGUUUAUGUUUGUUGAGAUCAAUCGUGUUGUUUUUAAUAUAGUAAAAUAAAUUCUAUAAAGUUAUAAUAUAGUUUAUUAAUAUUAAUUUUAUUUUAUAAAAUUUUAUACAAUUAACAUGGAAUACACGUGCAAUGCACAUGUCCGGAAACUAGUAUUAUUAAAAUAAGAGGAAAAAGCCACCUUCUUAGGCCUAGUGGCAACAUUAAAAUUAGCCACAUGUGAUGUAUUAACUAAUAACUAAUUCAUCCAUAUGGCAUAACCAGAAAAAGUCAUAUACAACUUAUUUCUUAAUUAAUUAAUAACAAAUAACUAAAUCAAAAUAUUAAAAAAUUUAAUAAAAUAUCUAUCCAUAUUUUUAAAAGAAUAAUAUGAUACCACAUAAUGACAAAUGUAGAUUUUUAGGACAAAGCUCCAAAAAAGUUGGAGUUUAGUUAUUUUAUAAUAAAAAUGAAAUAUAAAAAAAAAGAACCGCCCAUUCAAAUUGGUGAGUAGUUUCAAGUUAGAGUUUUAAAAUAAAAAACGAAAAUAAUCAAGUAACGAAUAAAUAAACUUACUCACAAGAAAGAUAAAAAAAUUUAUUAUGAAAUUAUAGAAAUAAAAAUUAUUUGAAUUUGAGAUGAGAAAAUUUCUUUUAAAUUAUAAUGAGAAAAUUCAUGCAAAUAACAAAAUAUAACUAAAACCAUAAUAGAUAAGGUCAAAAAUAAAAAGAUAUAGAACAAUGUGUGAAUUUCAAGUAAAAGAAUAAUAAAUUAAUAAUCAACUUUUACAUGAGUAAGAAAUCUAUGUUAUAUUAAAAGAGGUAAUAAGCAAGGACAUUAAAUCUAAAGGCAAACUAUUAAAAAUUCACAUGAUAUGCAAUAAUACUAAGCAAUGAAUAAAGCAAUAACGAUAAUCGAGGAACUAAAGAAGAAAAAAUGGCAUAAAAUAUAAAAUGAUAAAAUGUAUUAGAAUUUUAAAUCAGAAAGCGUUUUUGAGUUUUAAUGACAAAAAUCAUACAUAUGUAAAAUAUCAUGUAAAUUAAAUCUUAAUAGAUAAAGUCAAAAAUAAAAAAUAUUAGGAUAAAAGAAUAUCAAGCAAUAAAGUAUAAUUUUAAAAGAUAGAUGACUUUAAUAAUUAAAUCUUAAAAAUCAAAAUUUUAAUAAAAAGUCAAAGGAGAAGAAAAACUUAAUUUCUUGGAAUAUAAUACAAAAAUAACAAUUAAUUAAAACAUUGGUAGAUUUAUAACUAAAAAAGAAAAAAAUAAUUUAUAUUUUUGACGAAUUCAAAUGAAGAUGUACAAUGGAAAAAACGUUNNNNNNNNNNNNNNNNNNNNNNNNNAUGAUUUAUAUUAUCCGCACAUACUAGUACUAGUAAUAAAUUUAAAAAAAAUGUUUGCAUGACGUCCUCCUCUCCUUCAACCACGCGCACGCAUCUUUUAACGAUGCACUUAAACAUCAAAUCUAGAAGACUAACAAGUCACAUAGUAUAAUUAAAGCAGUACAAUUAUGAUACCUACAAAUACAAAAUUUUCAGAGCCAAAUGAAAAUUAUUAAGUAAUCUUCAACAACUUCUGUAACGUUUCUAAGCUUCAACAAGUACUGUAACGUUCUCUAAUCUUCAACUACUUAUGUAACGUAAUAUCUCUGGCAUGGGUUUAUGAUUUGACUUCCUCUCUUUGUCUGAAAUAUUUUUCUUUGUUUACACAUUUGUUUCUGUUGAAAGCCAUCAAACAAUCAGAUCUUUUUCCCCUACAAAAAAUUUGAAAUUAGUUUUGCUUAAGUGGAUUGGUGUCUGCUAGUUAGAAAUACUAUGUUAUAGAUUUAACCAAACACAAUAAAAUGGUAAAAAAAACAAACACGAAAAUGAAAAAGACUCUUAUAGCUUCAAACCAUUUACCUUUAUCUCUGAAUAAUCAAAAAUCUGAAAUAACAAAAUUACGAUUUCAUAUUAAGAAGUUUUCACACAUAUCAUAUUACACAAUUAUGAUAUGUUUAUGUGUGGCUGUGCGUUGUGAUAAUUUUUUUUUUCUUUUUAGAGGAUGAAGUUUUGAAUAACAUUAAAUGGGGGAGUAGUAAUAUUGGAGAGCCCGUCGAAGCAUAUUUUUUAGUGUUGCUUCCUUCUUUUAGUUGUUUGCUUCUAUGAGUGUGAACCAAUAGAAAGGAUUUAAAAACUAGAAUCAGUUUCAAAAGUAAGAUAUACUCUUAUUAAUUACAUAGUUUUCAUGUUCUACCUAUAAAAAGGUAGUAUCUAUUUGAAAUUUGUUGAGGACGGCUUAAAUUUGAGAGUGAAAAAUGGUGAAGAGGGGCGUUUUAAUAUUGCUUUUGUCUACAUUUUUAGUUGGGAGCAUUUAAAGUAGGCAAUUGGCCGAGAAUGGUUGCAUAGCUAAGAAAGACUGUGAUGUAAGAGAAAUAGGUGAAGGAGCUAAGACAGGUAGGAGGAGCAAUGGGCUUGGUGUAUCUGGACAAGAAUAUGGGUCGGGUCAAAAAUACAGUUAUGUGCCUAUUGGACCUAUACCAGAAUAUGGUAAUAUUCCCGGUGGCACACCAUUUACUGGAGGACCUGGACUAGGAUAUGGUGUUGCUCCAGGUAUACCUUUAUUAGGAGGACCUGACACCGUUGGUAUACCGUCUAUAGGAGGAUUACCUGGUCAAGGAUACAAUGGUAUUCCAAUUGGAGGAGGAGGACUUGGGCUUGGAUAUGGUAGUAUUCCAGGUAUACCUUUGAUCGAGAGACCCGAUAAAGGAUAUGGUGUUUUUCCUGGUAUACCAUUGUUAGGAGGAGGACCUAAUGGUGUUCUUCCCGGUAUACCAUUGUUAGGAGGAGGACCUAAUGGUGUUGAUAGGAGGAGGUGGAGGAAUUGGUGGAGGAGUUGGAGGAGGAAUUGGUGGAGUAGGAGGUGGUGUUGGAAAGCGAAUAAGCGGAUGGGGAGGCGGCGGCGACAGUGGUGGUGGUGGUGGAGGAGGAUUUGGACUGGGUGGAGGCUUUGGAGGAGGUGGUGGUGCCGGUGGUGGUUCUUAUGUUAACACCGAUAUGAUCAAUAGUAAGCAUCAUUGACAUGUAAUAAUCUUGAAGUGAAACUCAAAUUUGGAAAUAAAAGAUACUCUGUUCUUCUUUAAUAUGCAUGAAGUUGUUACUAUAAUUUGUUUUCAAGUGAACUUCAUUUUAUUUAUUUAACCGUUUUUCAUUAGAACAAUUGACUCUAGGUGAUAUUUCUAUGCUUAGACGUUAUUUAGUGGUAAAAUUAUCUCCAAUUAGUUACCGAGUAAUCAUCACUAGUUACAAUUAGCUAUAAAUGGUUGCCCAACUAGGAUUCUCUUUUUUCUCUUUACAUUCUGCACUCCCCGUGUAGGUUAGGAAAGGGCUAGUUUUGUUUAAAUGGGGUGAAAUUUUUGUGCCAAGACAUUAAAGUUAGCAUCUACUACUAGUUUUUUUGAACUUAACAGAAAUUCGUUCUUCUCAGGUAUUGAUUAAUCAUACUAUUUAAGAUAUUAAAUAAAGAACUACUUAAUUUUAUAUAACUUGCUUGAACCAACAUAUCCACAAUUAGACAAUGUUGUCAGUUUUGAGAAAAUCAUUAAACACCAUCCUUGUACCCUUUCCACCUACUUUCAUACCAUAUCAAAUGCAGAAAAUUAUUACAUAUUAUUUCCAGAGUAAAAUGAUUCCAUACCAAAAGAACCUUAGGUCUAGGGACUAAGUAAGCGUUUUAGCAAAAAAUACACAUACACAAUAAUGUAUUUUAAGCUUUAACUAAGUAAAUGUUUUAGCAAAAUGCAAUCUCAUACAUAGUCAACGUUUUAAGUUUUAACUAAGUAAACGUUAUAGCCAACACCUCGUCUUAGCCAGAAGAGCACAAAUCUGUGCAGGUAUACUAUGCAAAAGACUGAAUAAUCCAGUGACAAGAACAACCCACUAUAAUCCCAAUAGUGGAAUCUGGGGAGCGUAGUGUGUACGCAGACCUUAUCCCUACCCUGGGGUAGAGAGGUCGUUUCCGAUAGACCCUCGGCUUCAUCCCUCCAAGAACUCUCCACCUUGCUCUUGGGGUGACUCGAACUCACAACCUCUUAGUUGGAAGUGGAAUGUGCUUACCACUAAAGCAACCCACUCUUGCCUUUUGCCUUGCUACAAUACAUUAAAGCUGUGUAAAAAACUUUUCUAAGGAUCCAUUACAACAAUUACAUCUCAACCCACCAAUCUGGGGAUCACUAUGGAUAUAUAUGAAUAAGGUACAACAUUUAUAUCUCCUAAAUCUUACAUUUGGAAAAAUUGUUCUACAGUGCCCGCCCUUCUAUAAUUCUUCUCCAAGUGGAAGAAUAUAAAAUCAGCUUGGAUAUACAGUAGGGAAGAAACAGAAACUGUUUGUUUGCUAAAAAAAUGAUACAACAUGGAUAAACGUUGAAGAAGAAGCCAACAGUUCACCCCAACCAAUGAGUUUUCCAGUGUAAAAGAACCCAUCUACCACUUCACCGCCACAACCUGCACUCCAGAUUUAGCCAACACUUGGGCAGAGUGCAGCUUGUUAGGCUCAUCGCUUUUGAUUCAUCGCCAGCAGUCGAAGAGUUCAUUUGCUGAGGCAUGAGUAUCACCGCUGAGAGCAUACUUAUUCCCCUUCUGCACCACGCCCAUGCAAGAAAGGUUAAUGGCCAAUUUUUUGUGAUCCAAAAUUUGUGGGGGUUGGGGAAGGAGGGGGGACAAGCAGGAUAUUUAACACAUAACAACCUCAAUUCAGCAGUGUAUCAAAAUGAGCAGUUAGUAUUUGAAAGCUCU